UACGGAGGGGGUUAGCGUUGUUCGGAAUUACUGGGCGUAAAGCGCACGUAGGCGGAUCAGAAAGUUGGGGGUGAAAUCCCGGGGCUCAACCCCGGAACUGCCUCCAAAAACUCCUGGUCUUGAGUUCGAGAGAGGUGAGUGGAAUUCCGAGUGUAGAGGUGAAAAUUCGUAGAUAUUCGGAGGAACACCAGUGGCGAAGGCGGCUCACUGGCUCGAUACUGACGCUGAGGUGCGAAAGUGUGGGGAGCAAAACAGGAUUAAUACCCGG
This 268-nucleotide ribosomal RNA is filed under the name uncultured bacterium. RNAcentral's name for it is "partial 16S ribosomal RNA". It matches the Rfam family "Bacterial small subunit ribosomal RNA", at positions 524 to 789 of the family's 1533-position model. The record is from RNAcentral.